This 449-nucleotide ribosomal RNA is filed under the name uncultured bacterium. RNAcentral's name for it is "partial 16S ribosomal RNA". It matches the Rfam family "Bacterial small subunit ribosomal RNA", at positions 29 to 523 of the family's 1533-position model. The record is from RNAcentral.
AACGAACGCUGGCGGCAUGCCUAACACAUGCAAGUCGAACGAGAUCUUCGGGUCUAGUGGCGCACGGGUGCGUAACGCGUGGGAAUCUGCCCUUUGGUUCGGAAUAACAGUUGGAAACGACUGCUAAUACCGGAUGAUGACGAAAGUCCAAAGAUUUAUCGCCAGAGGAUGAGCCCGCGUAGGAUUAGCUAGUUGGUGUGGUAAAGGCGCACCAAGGCGACGAUCCUUAGCUGGUCUGAGAGGAUGAUCAGCCACACUGGGACUGAGACACGGCCCAGACUCCUACGGGAGGCAGCAGUGGGGAAUAUUGGACAAUGGGCGAAAGCCUGAUCCAGCAAUGCCGCGUGAGUGAUGAAGGCCUUAGGGUUGUAAAGCUCUUUUACCCGGGAUGAUGAUGACAGUACCGGGAGAAUAAGCUCCGGCUAACUCCGUGCCAGCAGCCGCAGUAA